Molecule: unclassified non-coding RNA, 273 nt
Filed under: uncultured Hypocreales
Lineage: Eukaryota; Fungi; Ascomycota; Sordariomycetes; Hypocreales
Description: sequence contains 5.8S rRNA gene, ITS2, 28S rRNA gene
Source: RNAcentral
AACGCACAUUGCGCCCGUCAGUAUUCUGGCGGGCAUGCCUGUUCGAGCGUCAUUACGCCCCUCAAGCCCCCUGUGGGUUUGGUGUUGGGGAUCGGCGAAGCUUUUUCAGCACGCGCCGUCCCUUAAAUCUAUUGGCGGUCUCGCUGUGGCCUUUCCUCUGCGCAGUAGUAACUCACUCGCAACAGGAGCCCGGCGCGGUCCACUGCCGUAAAACCCCCCCAUCAACUUCUUACAGUUGACCUCGAAUCAGGUAGGACUACCCGCUGAACUUAA